Molecule: ribosomal RNA, 427 nt
Filed under: uncultured bacterium
Lineage: Bacteria
Description: partial 16S ribosomal RNA
Rfam family: Bacterial small subunit ribosomal RNA
Source: RNAcentral
GUGAGGAAUAUUGCGCAAUGGGCGAAAGCCUGACGCAGCGACGCCGCGUGAGGGAAGACGGCCUUCGGGUUGUAAACCUCUUUUGUACGGGAAGAAGGACGUGACGGUACCGUGCGAAUAAGUCCCGGCUAACUACGUGCCAGCAGCCGCGGUAAUACGUAGGGGACGAGCGUUGUCCGGAAUUACUGGGCGUAAAGGGCGCGCAGGCUGUAGAUCAAGUCAGCUGUGAAAUGUCUGGGCUUAACCCGGGCAUGCGGUUGAAACUGAUGUACUGGAGUGCUGUAGAGGCAAGUGGAAUUCCCAGUGUAGCGGUGAAAUGCGUAGAUAUUGGGAAGAACACCGGUGGCGAAGGCGACUUGCUGGGCAGCAACUGACGCUGAGGCGCGAAAGCCAGGGGAGCAAACGGGAUUAGAUACCCGAGUAGUCC